RNAcentral lists this ribosomal RNA (636 nucleotides) under bacterium RB14SAN. RNAcentral describes it as "bacterial SSU rRNA". It matches the Rfam family "Bacterial small subunit ribosomal RNA", at positions 73 to 692 of the family's 1533-position model. The record is from RNAcentral.
UGGGAGCUUGCUCCCAUUUCUCAGCGGCGGACGGGUGAGUAACACGUGGGCAACCUGCCCUACAGACUGGGAUAACUCCGGGAAACCGGAGCUAAUACCGGGUAAUACAUAGCAUCGCAUGAUGCAACGUUGAAAGUUGGCCUUUGGCUAACACUGUAGGAUGGGCCCGCGGCGCAUUAGCUAGUUGGUAAGGUAACGGCUUACCAAGGCCACGAUGCGUAGCCGACCUGAGAGGGUGAUMGGCCACACUGGGACUGAGACACGGCMMAGACUCCUACGGGAGGCAGCWGUAGGGAAUCUUCCGCAAUGGACGAAAGUCUGACGGAGCAACGCCGCGKGAGUGACGAAGGCCUUCGGGUCGUAAAGCUCUGUUGUUAGGRAAGAACAAGUACCGUUCGAAUAGGGCGGUACCUUGACGGUACCUAACCAGAAAGCCACGGCUAACUACGUGCCAGCAGCCGCGGUAAUACGUAGGUGGCAAGCGUUGUCCGGAAUUAUUGGGCGUAAAGCGCGCGCAGGCKGUCUCUUAAGUCUGAUGUGAAAGCCCACGGCUCAACCGUGGAGGGCCAUUGKAAACUGGGGGACUUGAGUGCAGAARAGGAGAGUGRAAUUCCACGUGUAGCGGUGAAAUGCGUA